RNAcentral lists this small nuclear RNA (24 nucleotides) under Arabidopsis thaliana (thale cress). RNAcentral's name for it is "snRNA_02625". The record is from RNAcentral. Lineage: Eukaryota; Viridiplantae; Streptophyta; Magnoliopsida; Brassicales; Brassicaceae.
AUAACAUGUCUUUAUUAAUCAUGU